This is a non-coding RNA of Pelobates cultripes (western spadefoot toad), 226 nucleotides long. Lineage: Eukaryota; Metazoa; Chordata; Amphibia; Anura; Pelobatidae. The record is from the annotation of a GenBank genome assembly.
GUCAGACAGUCACUGUUGUGCACCAACUGAUGGCACUGGAGUGAGUUGCAUACCUGCCAACAUAGGAAACUAUGACAUUUCAAUGUAGGUGAGUGGGCCUAUAGAAGGUGUGCCAGUGAUACGACUUAUAUCCCAGGUGAGGUAAGUUGUGACAGAUCCUCUGUCUCUGGAUUAUAACCCAACCCAGCUGAGAAAUACGUACAGUCCAUGAGGAACCUACUGACCG